UAGCAGCACAUCAUGGUUUGUAG
This 23-nucleotide non-coding RNA is filed under the name Callorhinchus milii (elephant shark). RNAcentral also lists the same sequence under 2 other names. The record is from RNAcentral. Lineage: Eukaryota; Metazoa; Chordata; Chondrichthyes; Chimaeriformes; Callorhinchidae.